Lontra canadensis (Northern American river otter) is the source of this 259-nucleotide long non-coding RNA. RefSeq lists it as uncharacterized. NCBI's taxonomy places the organism in Eukaryota, Metazoa, Chordata, Mammalia, Carnivora, Mustelidae. The transcript is spliced from 3 exons. The record is from RefSeq and is a predicted model, not a curated record.
GCAUCUCGGCUGUGUCUGGAGGUCUCCGAGAGCGGUGUGCGCACUUCCGGACCUCAGGCUGGGCUCGCGGUGGUCAGCACCUUGGACCUGGCGGGUCCUGAGGCCCCCGCGGCAUCUGGGACUGGCUAUUCCCUCCGCCUGAGCGCCAAGCCUCGUCGGAGCCCACGGUCCGCAGGGGGCUUGGUGCGGUGGACCCAGUGACAGCCGUGGCCCUGGUCCCUGAACUCCGCUGGUGCAGCCCGGCCUCCCGUGGCUGAGG